ACAAACACUGUGAYGACAGGAACUCAGCUUGAGACUUGGAGGAAGCUCAGGCCACAUGCAUGCCGCUGUCUGCAAAGCUCUUUUUGACUGUGUUUCCUUUUGCUCCAAAGCUUCUUCCAGUUUGAUCCACAGAAAAGUAUAUAUGUGGCAGAAAAGGACCGGCUCUAUCAGCCAGACACCAGCAGCACCAGGCAUUUCUACUCCACUGCUCACCCAUAUGGUGGGAUUCUGCACCGAGGAGCUAGAACAUCCCCUCAAACACUACCAAGGCCUGGAUGGAGAAUUUGAAGUUAUGGACUAAUAGAUUUGUAACAGUCUGGRCUGACUUUUUAAUAAGUGACCAACAAAUUCAGACAGCCUCAAGAUGACAGAUGGCCUCAUGGGGAAAUGUUUUUAAAACAAACAAAAGAAAACCCUGAGGAAGAGAAGUUAGUCUAAUUAGAGGUAUAUGGAUUCAGGACAACAGAAACAGUGGGGGAAUGGGUUGGUUUAGCCCUAGAAUUUGAGCUCAAAUAUUAYGUUCACUGUAGAGUGCGAAUUUGUUUGUCUGGAGAUCCAGGAGACUCAUCACUGGGUUUCUUGUUUUGUUUUUCAAACGCACUGAUGUUUKGUUGCUGUUGCUACUGGAUUCCUCGAGCGACUAGCACACCCCAUGAACACGAGCACCUCGGCUUUGCAAACCCCAGUGACAGACAGCAAUGUGUGAUUUCAUCCGUGCGUGCAUGCUGUGAGAAACCAGCAACUGCUACUUUGGUUAAAGUUUAGAGGUUGGGUGUUUCGUGUGGGCUGGAAUGCUGUGACUUUAACCCUUUCGCUGUUCUCACCGUGCAUGCCUCGCACCGUGUUUCCUCCGGAAAAAAUGACAGGUUAUGGAACCACCUCUUUGGUGAAAUCUUGCAGCAAGCAGGUUUUGAUCUCAGCAGCAGCUCCAACCUGCACUGUUAGCAUUGACAGAAGGAUGGUUGGGCAUGUGUUACGCGUUGCUCCGAAGAACGAGAGG
RNAcentral lists this long non-coding RNA (1000 nucleotides) under Dromaius novaehollandiae (emu). Its description in RNAcentral is "lncRNA (ENSDNVG00000004126.1)". Lineage: Eukaryota; Metazoa; Chordata; Aves; Casuariiformes; Dromaiidae. The record is from RNAcentral.